UGUGGGUGGUACCAACCAAUAGGAUUGCAGCCUGGACAGAAUAAAAACCGAAAGAGGGUCGUCCUUCUUGCUUCUUGGGAGGAGUGGUAGUCUUCGGACUUUGAUCUCAGGUUGUGUCAGGAUUCCAGCACAGAUUCUUCAGACUUCCAACAUAGACCGUUUGGUUUUCCGACGCAGACUUGCACGGGAUUCUGCAUGAGCCUUCAACUGAAGCCUCCCCCCUCUCCGGCAAGCUGCCGGCCAUGUUGCAUUCUUCCGGCCCUGAUUCUGAGGCAGCCACUCCCUGAGUGCCACCUCUUUUGCCGAGGAUGCCUCUGUAGAGGCACCCAGCAGCCCUUUGUGUGAUCCGAGGGUGAAGAUGAACAGCCUGGAGAGCAGCCAAGAGUCCUGCUGGACACAGGAAGGCAGCGAACAGGGAUUUGAAGACCUCAAACAAAAUUCUCUCAGAUUGGACUCUCCUGCCUCCAUCUUGGCCAAAUUGCUAGAGAAAUACAUUCAAGAAAAAUGGAGAGAGAAUACAACCUGUGAACCAUCUGACUUUCAGCUUUACAGUGAAGAACUGGUUAGUUGCAGAUACCCAGUUUAAUGCAUGGUGAGAGACUUCAGGAUGGGGAAAGCCAGUUUUUCCAGCACACCUAUUACAGGGACUACAUUUCUUCCAAUGAAGGUCUGUCCCCCCACCCCCACCCGGACCCAUGCUGUUUUUAUCACAUUAGCUUUUGGAACAAAACCUUGAUCUCCCAGGAAAUAUAACAAAGAAUCAAUAACUUGGAUCUUAUCUUAUUAAAAAGCCUUUCCACAGCAAAAGAAAUCAGCAACAGAGCUAAGAGAGUAGGAAAAAAUUUUUGACUGCUGUUCCUCAAAGACUAGAAUCUAUUAAAGAAUUUAAAGAAAACCAGACCUCCCAAUUUAAAGACCCAAUCCAAAAAUGGGCAUCAGAAAUGAAUAGACACUUCUCAGAUGAAAAAGUACAUAUGGCAAAUAAAUAUAUGAAAAAAUGUUCAACAUCACUGGUUAUUGGAGAGAUGCAAAUUAAAACAAUGAUGAGAUUCCAUCUCACUCCAGAAAGAAUGGCUUCUAUCAAGAAAUCAUUAUAUUCUGGCAGGGCUUCGAGGAAAAAGGAACCCUUCUCCACUGUUGGUGGGAGUGUAGACUGGUGCGACUACUUUGGAAAUCUGAAGAUUCCUAAAAAAGCUAAGAUUAGAGGUCCCAAUUGACCCAGCUAUUCCCCUGCUGGGUAUCUUCCUAAAUAAUUAACAUACUACCGUGAUAUAUGCACACCUAUGUUUAUAGCAGCAGAGCUUGUAAUAGCUAAUUCUUGGAAAUGGCCCAAAUACUGAUCAACUGAUGAAUAAAGAAGAUGUGAUUUUUUUAAUACAAUGGAGUAUUACUCUGUUAUAAAGAGGGAUAAACUUGAGACAUUUGUAGGUGAAUGAAUGUACCUUGAGAUCAUACUCAAGUGAAACAAGUGAAAUAAAUCGGGCACACGUGUAAAUAUUGCAUUGAUUCUCUGAUGUGAGAAACUGAAAGUGUAAAUAACGAUCAAAAUGUAUAAUAGAUAUUGUGAAAUAAGAAAAUGUUCAAAUGGGAAGGGGAACUAGGGAAGGGGGAGGGGAAAGGAAGGAAGGAAAAACAAAGAAAAGAAAAAAUGGAAACAAAAACCUUUGAUAUAUAAGAAAGGGCAGAGGGGUUGAAGGGAGGGGACAGGAAUGGGAAAAAAAGAACCAAGAUAUGUCAUGUAUAGAUACAAAUUCCCUAUGAUGAACAUGAUCAUUAUAUAUUUCUAAAAUGUGCCAAUAAACUUAAUUAAAAAAUAAAAUGAAAUGAUAUUGCCUUUGUGGCUAAAGAUUU
This is a long non-coding RNA of Heterocephalus glaber (naked mole-rat), 1851 nucleotides long. The record is from Ensembl. NCBI's taxonomy places the organism in Eukaryota, Metazoa, Chordata, Mammalia, Rodentia, Bathyergidae.